UCACCAUGUGCUGUUGUGUUUUUGUUUCUCCUUCAUCUUCAAAGUUGUAAAGGAGCAAGUCUACUCCUAAGAAAAUGAAGAACAAUAUAAGAAAUUGUUAAUAAUUUUUGUCACAAAUGCCUUUCCUCAAACACUUCUUAACCAUCACAAGUCACUAUUAUAGUACAUAUGAGGUAACGAACCUUAGACCUUUUCUCAAUUGCUAUGGACAAUUGACAAACAGGAAAAGAAAAAAAAAUUCGAAUAACGUAGAACUAACCUCAAUAGUUUUCCUUUGAAAAACAUCUCGUCCCAAUCUCAAAUAUAUUGAUUUCUUCAGAUUCAUCUAAUCUUUCUAUUAAAUAGAUCAACAUCACACGAUGUUAAUACAGUAAACAAAAAGUUCAACUUUUUAAUUAAACAUUCACUUACAAGACCAACUAAAAUCUUAUAAUAUUAACAUAGCAUAUUCAGGAACUCGACGGGAAAAUCUUGCUCCAAUCUUUUUAAGGUCACCAACCUACGGAGCAAUUUGUCACGUCCCGCCACAUCACAGUGAAAUUUUGUGUCCGAAUACGGGCGGAAGGGUCUAGAGUUGUGGAGAGGUUUCCGGAAGACUCUAGAACCCCUUAGAUUAUUCAAGAAGGCUAGAAAGUUCCCUAGAAUUCUCUACAAUAACUUAGAAUUCUCUAGAAUAAUUUAAAAGGCAAUGGAAGGUCCUAGAUAGUUUCCAAGAAAGCCUUA
RNAcentral lists this long non-coding RNA (723 nucleotides) under Solanum tuberosum (potato). Its description in RNAcentral is "long non-coding RNA (STUB_LNC007478)". The record is from RNAcentral. Lineage: Eukaryota; Viridiplantae; Streptophyta; Magnoliopsida; Solanales; Solanaceae.